UUAGAAAAUAAAACAGAUACCAAGUUUUCUUGGCUGACACUGAUUGCUGGAGGCAUCCUGAGGUCAUUGAUGACACUGAAAUUUUUCAUUUGCUCAGACUGCAGGAAAGCCCAUGGGUUGUUCGUGUAAAAUUGCUCCAAGCUGAGAAAGGUAUCAGCCUACAGCUCUUGUAAGGAGUGACGGAAGGAGUGACCUGGAAGCCAGAUAAGAGAUAAAUGCUGAAAGUUUUGCUACUUGUGGAAGUUCUACUCUUUCAGCCACUAAAUGCAGUGUGCCUCAAUGUUCUGCUGAAGAGGUAGCCAGCUCUAAAAACAC
This 315-nucleotide long non-coding RNA is filed under the name Numida meleagris (helmeted guineafowl). Its description in RNAcentral is "lncRNA (ENSNMEG00000002147.1)". The record is from RNAcentral. Lineage: Eukaryota; Metazoa; Chordata; Aves; Galliformes; Numididae.